GAUGAAGAACGUAGCGAAAUGCGAUAAGUAGUGUGAAUUGCAGAAUUCCGUGAAUCAUCGAAUCUUUGAACGCACAUUGCGCCUUCUGGUAUUCCGGAAGGCAUGCCUGUUCGAGAGUCAUUAACAACCGUUUCGAUCCCUUUCUUUCAGAAAUUACAAAGAGGAAAAGGGUUUGGUUAUGGUGGAGGAGGGAAAGGGAGCGUUUAGCCUGUAAAAAAAGAGGCUGUGUUCCGCCUCCCCCCCAAAAUUGUACAGGCGGUCGUGUGCGCCCACGCAUCGAGGUGUUGUAAAAGCUGCCACGGCACUUUUCACCUGUGCAGUGCGAGAUUGGCCAGCCGGUUUAAAAACCCCUCCAAACAAUCAAAGGUUGACCUCGGAACAGGUAGGGAUACCCGCUGAACUUAAGCAUAUCAAUAAGCGGAGGA
Molecule: unclassified non-coding RNA, 425 nt
Filed under: soil metagenome
Description: partial contains 5.8S ribosomal RNA, internal transcribed spacer 2, and large subunit ribosomal RNA
Rfam family: 5.8S ribosomal RNA (bases 1-120)
Source: RNAcentral